UACGGGGGGGGCAAGCGUUGUUCGGAAUUACUGGGCGUAAAGGGCUCGUAGGUGGCCAACUAAGUCAGACGUGAAAUCCCUCGGCUUAACCGGGGAACUGCGUCUGAUACUGGAUGGCUUGGAUUCGGGAGAGGAAUGCGGAAUUCCAGGUGUAGCGGUGAAAUGCGUAGAUAUCUGGAGGAACACCGGUGGCGAAGGCGGCAUUCUGGACCGAUAUUGACGCUGAGGAGCGAAAGCCAGGGGAGCAAACGGG
This 253-nucleotide ribosomal RNA is filed under the name uncultured bacterium. RNAcentral's name for it is "partial 16S ribosomal RNA". It matches the Rfam family "Bacterial small subunit ribosomal RNA", at positions 524 to 776 of the family's 1533-position model. The record is from RNAcentral.